UUUGGGGGGGGUUCGAGGGGAUUAUGGUGGAUUUGAGGGGUUCUAGGGGUGGUAGACCAUCUCCAUGGGGUUUUUGAGGGUCUCUAGGGGUGGUGGGACGUGGUUAUGGGGGAUUUGGGGGGGAUCGGGGGGAUUAUGGGUUUUUUGAGGGUCUCUAGGGGUGGUAGAACAUCUCCAUAGGGUUUUUGGGGGGCUCUAGGGGUGGUGGGACGUGGUUAUGGGAUUUUUGAGGCGGUUUGAGGGGAUUAUGGGGUUUUUGAGGGUCUCUAGGGGUGGUAGACCAUCUUUAGGGUUUUUUUUGGGUUUUUUUUUGGGGUGUUGAGCCUGACCUGGCGGAUGUUCUGCCCCACGUACUCGAUGACCAUCUCGUCGGCGGCGAUGGGCUCCAUGGCGAAGAGGCCCCACUCGUGGAUGCGGCUGCGCCCGAACCGCAACCGCUUCUUCCGGAACUUUGGGGGGGGACACGAGGGUCACCGGGGGGGGGACAAACCCACCCCAGGUCCCCACGAAGACCCUCGUGGUGGAGCAGGACCUCAACGGUGUUGGGGACGCCCAAACGAAGAGCGUCGGCGACCCAACGUGGCAACGCAACGCGGCGUCAACCCAAGGUGUCACCAACCCAACCCAACGUGUCACCAACCCAACGUGUCACCAACCCAACGUGUCAUCAACCCAACGCGUCACCAACCCAACGCGUCACCAACCCAACGUGUCACCAACCCAACGUGUCAUCAACCCAACGUGUCAUCAACCCAACGCGUCAUCAUCCCAACGUGUCAUCAUCCCAACGUGUCGUCAACCCAACCCGUUGGCAUCCCAACACGUCAUCAACCCAACGCGCCGCCCACCCAACCCAACGCGUUGUCAACCCAACGCGUCACCCACCCAACACACGUGAAGACACGGUGCCAACCCAAUGCGUCGUCAACCCAACGCGUCACCAACCCAACACGCGUGAAGACGCGUUGUCAACCCAACGCAUCAACCCAACGCAUCGCCAACCCAACGCGUCGCCCACCCAACACGCGUGAAGACACGGGGCCAACCCAACGCGUCGCCAUCCC
RNAcentral lists this long non-coding RNA (1064 nucleotides) under Anas platyrhynchos platyrhynchos (common mallard). RNAcentral describes it as "lncRNA (ENSAPLG00000019769.1)". Lineage: Eukaryota; Metazoa; Chordata; Aves; Anseriformes; Anatidae. The record is from RNAcentral.